AUAGGAUCUAGACCUGGCAUAUCUUCAUACGACCAUGCAAAAAUAUCCGGAUAUUCCCGGAGGAGCUGGAUGAUCUUCCGUUUAACCCCUUCCUCUAAAGUAGCACCAAUCUUGAUUUCUCGCUUGUUUUCCUCGGUACCUAUGUUGAUAAGCUCAAUCUCUUCUUGG
MicroRNA precursor from Medicago truncatula (barrel medic), 168 nucleotides. It matches the Rfam family "MIR2680 microRNA precursor family". NCBI's taxonomy places the organism in Eukaryota, Viridiplantae, Streptophyta, Magnoliopsida, Fabales, Fabaceae. The record is from Rfam.